AACGCACGAGACCUGCGGACCUGCGGAGGGAUCAUUACUGAAUUGAUUUUGGGGAUGUUGCUGGUCUCUUGAGGCAAUGGUGCACUCCCUCAAACAUUUCACAAUUUCCAUCUUACCCAUGUGCACAUCCUGUAGGUGGUCUCCCAACCCACCCUCCAAGGAAAGGGGGGGAGUGUGUGGGUCUGGUCUCCUAUGUAUUUCCUUGCCAACAUCACACGUUUUGACUGUAUGAAUCCUGUG
This 240-nucleotide unclassified non-coding RNA is filed under the name soil metagenome. Its description in RNAcentral is "partial contains 5.8S ribosomal RNA, internal transcribed spacer 2, and large subunit ribosomal RNA". The record is from RNAcentral.